GGCCAGAGGAGGUAGUAAAGACAAAUAUCGAUACAGAACUCAAUUGAGGUACUGUAAUCGAAAUGAGUGCAUUAUAAAUCCUACAACGAGGAUCUAUUGGAGGGCAAGUCUGGUGCCAGCAGCCGCGGUAACUCCAGCUCCAAUAGCAUAUAUUAAAAUUGCUGCAGUUAAAAAGCUCGUAGUUGGAUCUGGGUUCUGGUUUGGGAUAUCAUGAAUUAAUAUAAUGAAUUUCAUUUAUUGGUCCAUGAUUUAUUCAGGCCGAAUCUUCCAGCUGUGUCUGUGUGGUAUCUCGGUAACACAUAGAUAGUGUCGUUGUCUGCUAUUGCUUCACAGCUUUACAGUUUCGAUAUUAUGCACUGUUAAUGCCUUUAAUCGGGUGUUCAGUGUGGACAGCACGUUUACUUUGAACAAAUUUGAGUGCUCAAAGCAGGCCUAUGUU
RNAcentral lists this ribosomal RNA (439 nucleotides) under Gyrodactylus harengi. RNAcentral describes it as "bacterial SSU rRNA". It matches the Rfam family "Eukaryotic small subunit ribosomal RNA", at positions 453 to 792 of the family's 1831-position model. The record is from RNAcentral. Lineage: Eukaryota; Metazoa; Platyhelminthes; Monogenea; Gyrodactylidea; Gyrodactylidae.